CUUUUUCUAUUUGCUUAGAGAACCCUACCACCGCGUUCGAAGGGCUGGUGAGUAUCUCCUUCUUCGUUUAUCAAUCGAUUGAAUCGAUCUUUGAAGAAAAUGCAGAAUCAGAGGCUGAAGCAGCAACAACAGCAAGCUUUGAUGCAACAAGCGCUUCUUCAACAACAGUCUCUCUAUCAUCCUGGCCUCUUAGCUCCUCCUCAGAUUGAGCCAAUACCUAGUGGGAAUCUGCCUCCUGGGUUUGAUCCAACCACCUGCCGCAGUGUGUUUGUUGGGAAUAUUCACCCGCAAGUGACUGAACCUCUUCUUCAGGAAGUUUUCUCUAGUACUGGUCUGGUGGAAGGAUGUAAGCUGAUAAGGAAGGAAAAGUCAUCUUAUGGUUUCAUCCACUACUAUGAUCGUAGAUCAGCUGCACUUGCUAUAGUCACUCUUAAUGGAAGGCAUCUGUUUGGGCAGCCUAUUAAAGUUAAUUGGGCAUUUGCCAGUGGACAGAGGGAGGACACUUCAAGUCACUUUAAUAUAUUUGUUGGUGAUCUGAGCCCUGAAGUUACUGAUGCAAUGCUAUUUGCUUGCUUCUCUGUUUACCCUGGUUGCUCUGAUGCAAGGGUAAUGUGGGAUCAAAAGACUGGGCGUUCUAGAGGUUUUGGUUUUGUUUCUUUCCGUAACCAACAGGAUGCUCAAAGUGCCAUCAAUGAUUUAACAGGCAAAUGGCUUGGUAGUAGGCAGAUACGUUGCAACUGGGCUACCAAAGGUGCUAACUCGAAUGAUGACAAACAGAGUUCUGAUGCCAAAAGUGUUGUGGAAUUAACAAAUGGUUCAUCAGAAGAUGGUAAAGAGGCAGCGAAUAGUGAUGCUCCUGAAAAUAACCCACAGUACACCACUGUUUAUGUGGGCAAUAUUGCUCCUGAGGUAACACAGAUUGAUCUCCAUCGCUACUUUCAUGCCCUUGGUGCAGGAGUGAUAGAGGAAAUUCGAAUUCAGCGUGAUAAAGGAUUUGGUUUUGUAAGAUACAAUACUCAUGCUGAGGCAGCUUUAGCGAUUCAAAUGGGAAAUACCCACUCAGUUCUCGGUGGAAGGCAGAUUAAGUGUUCGUGGGGCAACAAGCCAACUCCACCUGGAACAACCUCGAACCCACUUCCUCCACCAGCUCCCACACCAUUAGGUAUUUCGGCCACUGACCUUUUGGCUUAUGAGAGACAGCUAGCUAUGAGCAAGAUGGGUGGUGUCCCGGGCCUCAUGGGUCAAUAUCCUUUGAAGCAAGGAUCGAUGGGGAUGGCCUCUGGAGCAAGCCAAGCUAUAUAUGAUGGCGGUUUCCAGAAUGUUGCUGCACAACAGCUCAUGUAUUAUCAGUGAUGUGGCUCUGGGGUUGUCGUUGCCUUUCUACCUAGUUUACCUUUAAUAACGCUUGUUUUUUUCUUUUCAUGUUCUCUUUUUUUUUUGUUCUUAAUAUUUAGGCAUCAUGCCUAGUUAGAUGUGAGUGCCACGUGUAUCAAUACGUAUAAUGUAUGCUUUGUGUCCCAGUUUAUUAGUAGGAAUGAGGGAAUACUACGAGGUUUGCUCCAUUAUUGUUGUUCAUACAUGCUUUGAUGUUGUGACAGAUCUAU
Molecule: unclassified non-coding RNA, 1604 nt
Filed under: Hevea brasiliensis (rubber tree)
Lineage: Eukaryota; Viridiplantae; Streptophyta; Magnoliopsida; Malpighiales; Euphorbiaceae
Source: RNAcentral